UUGGAGGGCAAGUCUGGUGCCAGCAGCUGCGGUAAUUCCAGCUCCAAUAGCGUAUAUUAAAGUUGUUGCAGUUAAAAAGCUCGUAGUUGAAUUUCGGGAUCAGAGUGUCGGUCGUGCCUCGGUACGAACUGGUAUUAUUGGUUCCUACCUUCUGAAGAACCGCGAUGUCAUUAAUUUGGUGUCGUGGGGAAUCAGGACUGUUACUUUGAAAAAAUUAGAGUGUUUAAAGCAGGCUUACGCUUGAAUACAUUAGCAUGGAAUAAUGAAAUAGGACGUUUGAUUCUAUUUUGUUGGUUUCUAGGAUUGACGUAAUGAUUAACAGGGAUAGUUGGGGGCAUUAGUAUUCAAUUGUCAGAGGUGAAAUUCUUGGAUUUAUUGAAGACUAACUACUGCGAAAGCAUUUGCCAAGGAUGUUUUCAUUAAUCAAGAACGAAAGUUAGGGGAUCGAAGACGAUCAGAUACCGUCGUAGUCUUAACCAUAAACUAUGCCGACUAGGGAUCGGAUGAUGUUAAUUUUUUAAUGACUCAUUCGGCGCCUUACGGGAAACCAAAGUGUUUGGGUUC
Molecule: ribosomal RNA, 564 nt
Filed under: uncultured Glomeromycotina
Lineage: Eukaryota; Fungi; Glomeromycota
Description: SSU rRNA
Rfam family: Eukaryotic small subunit ribosomal RNA
Source: RNAcentral